This 253-nucleotide ribosomal RNA is filed under the name uncultured bacterium. RNAcentral describes it as "partial 16S ribosomal RNA". It matches the Rfam family "Bacterial small subunit ribosomal RNA", at positions 524 to 776 of the family's 1533-position model. The record is from RNAcentral.
UACGUAGGGGGCAAGCGUUGUCCGGAUUUAUUGGGCGUAAAGAGCGUGUAGGCGACUUUACAGGUCCGUUGUGAAAACUCGAGGCUCAACCUCGAGACGCCGGUGGAAACCGUAAAGCUAGAGUCCGGAAGAGGAGAGUGGAAUUCCUGGUGUAGCGGUGAAAUGCGCAGAUAUCAGGAGGAACACCCGUGGCGAAAGCGGCUCUCUGGGACGGUGCUGACGCUGAGACGCGAAAGCGUGGGGAGCAAACAGG